CAGUAAAAAGGAACAGCUGCCCGUCAUUUGUUAUUAGCUGGAGCUAUUUACAGGAGGUGAAGAUUUAGAGGAAGAUAAAAAGUUACAUGAAAGGAUCUGUAAACAACCCAAAAAUAGAGAUGAUCAUCACUUCAGAUUAUAGGUUAUAGAAAUUAGAGCAAGUGAGGUACGAGCAUUGAUGUUGGCAGAGUUCCUUGCAGCUUAAACAUAGAGUCGUUGGUAACAGAUAACAAGAGCAUCCGACAAUAGGAUUGCAAAGAAAAUGAGACAGCACCAG
Molecule: long non-coding RNA, 277 nt
Filed under: Elaeis guineensis (African oil palm)
Lineage: Eukaryota; Viridiplantae; Streptophyta; Magnoliopsida; Arecales; Arecaceae
Description: long non-coding RNA (EGUI_LNC005221)
Source: RNAcentral